The sequence is a ribosomal RNA, 81 nucleotides long. It matches the Rfam family "Bacterial small subunit ribosomal RNA", at positions 1 to 79 of the family's 1533-position model.
UUGAAUUGAAGAGUUUGAUCAUGGCUCAGAUUGAACGCUGGCGGCAGGCUUAACACAUGCAAGUCGAACGGUAGCAGGAAG